CUUCGGGAAACCGGAGCUAAUACCGGAUAAUAUUUUGAACCGCAUGGUUCAAAAGUAAAAGACGGUCUUGCUGUCACUUAUAGAUGGAUCCGCGCUGCAUUAGCUAGUUGGUAAGGUAACGGCUUACCAAGGCAACGAUGCAUAGCCGACCUGAGAGGGUGAUCGGCCACACUGGAACUGAGACACGGUCCAG
This 193-nucleotide ribosomal RNA is filed under the name uncultured Staphylococcus sp. RNAcentral describes it as "partial 16S ribosomal RNA". It matches the Rfam family "Bacterial small subunit ribosomal RNA", at positions 147 to 334 of the family's 1533-position model. The record is from RNAcentral. Lineage: Bacteria; Bacillati; Bacillota; Bacilli; Caryophanales; Staphylococcaceae.